Molecule: long non-coding RNA, 3807 nt
Organism: Apis cerana (Asiatic honeybee)
Lineage: Eukaryota; Metazoa; Arthropoda; Insecta; Hymenoptera; Apidae
Source: RefSeq, a predicted model, not a curated record
CCUUCCUCGCAGUCACGGCUCAAGGUACAGCCGAUACGAAGCGCCACGGGUUACGACGCUAAUAAUCAAUCGAAUUAGUUUUAAUGUACGAUGGUCCUUUUUUCAAUAGUGAAUUUUGAAAUAAUGUUACAAUAAAAGAUAUAAUUGACAUAAAGCUUGUUCGAUACAUAUCUUGAUGAUUUAAAGGCAAAUUAAAGGCAAAAGAAAAAGACAGUGUUCAUAAAUUUACAUUUAAUAUUCUCUUGCAAAGCUAUUGCAUCCUGUAACACGGACACAAAAAGCCCGGAACAAAGGAGAGGAUGAAUUCAACUAGCAUUACGAAAUAAAUUUUACUAAAAAUUGAAAGUCCCUAUCAAAGUAUUAAAAUAAAAAGCUAAGUGAAAAAUAUAUUUAUACAUAUUACUUUAUAUUAUUAAUAGUAACUAAACGAAUCUUCUAAUAUAAACUCAAACAGAAAUAUUAUGAAACAACCCUUAACAUUUAAUUAUCCCCUGAGAAUCUUUUAUUUCCCUUACACUGCUCGCAGCUAAAGGUUACCCUGAUUCCUUUCUAUUUCUAGACCAAUGUACCAUGAAGCUACAGAGAUGGUUCAAUAAUAAUUAUUAACAAAAAAACUAUGAGGUAUUUCCAUUUAAUCCAAGCUUAUUUAAGCGAAAAUCUUUAAACGUUAUCUGUCCAAUGAUCUGUCUAUAUGAUAUAAUAAUCAAAAGGCAAAAGAGCUAUUUCAUUCUUUCAAGUUCUUCAGCUUUGCAUGUAUGCGUUUCAAUGCAAAUAACAGAGAUUGCCACUUAUUUCUUCUCAUUCUUUUUCUUUUUUAACGAAUCUAGAUACAAAGUUUUAAGCAUUCUUGAAGUAUAGCUAACGAUUAAUUAAAUCUUCAUAUAUUUUAAAAAACAGUAUUGCUUUAAAUAAUAAACAAAUAAAACCAUCAUUCUCCCAAGACGAAGAAAAAAAUCAAGAAAGCAAUUUCUCAUAUUAUCAUGGAAAUAUUCCAAGAUAUUGAGAAUUGUAGUUUACAAUCGAAAAGAAAAAAAUUCAUUUCACGAGCAUCUCCAUCUUCGUGAAUAAGAAAUCAUGUCCCAGAUAUCACGAAGAAAGUUAACGAUCCAGCGCGCAUGUUCAGCCCGGUUGAUCGACGUUUCGAACUUUUCAUUCGUCGAGGCGCAAUCGAAUCGUCGAAAGCUACUUCCGGCAUCUCAGCCCGCCGGAAAGCUUCUCCCGUGACGGGAUCCGGUGCAGCAAUCGCGCAGUUUCGCGCUGGUUCCUCCGAUUCGGCACAGCUGAGCCGACUUCGGCAUUGCUCGGCCACAAUCGUAGACGAUGCAUCGAUUUUUCCUUCAUUCGCUGCUGCUGCUGCAGCCACGGUGCAUUGCUUUUGCACCGUGACCGCGUUGACACUUGCCAACUUUCCUUUCCAAGCCUUUCCUCUCUAUAUUCGCAUCGUCUUUCUUUUUUUUCUUUCUUCCUCGUUCCUUAACGAGAUUUAAAAUAGGAAAUAAAACGUGAUGGAUGAAAUGUAGGGAAUGUAUAGGAUAAAAAAUAAUGAGAAUGGAUUGAUUGGAUUUUGUUGUAAUGGUUUUAAAAUUAGAUAUUAAUGUAGUUCCACGCGAAUCUGAAAUGUUUUUUAUUGAUUGAAAAGUUGUAAGGUCGGUUUAUUUCGCGGCUUCAUUAAAAAUAUUGCUUUUAAUUACCGAUGAGAAAGUUUCUUUUUUUCCAGAGACCAAGGAAGCUGUAUAACCAUUAGUGUUAAUCAAUUUCCACGAGGAUUUAUUGCCCCUUUACGAAGAACUUUUUAAACUCAUUUAUUUUUUCUCUUAUGAGAAACUUCUUCACCGUUUCAUCACUCUAUACUCUAAUGAUAGACACUUUUAAAUUUAUGAUGUGACUAAAACGUGAAUAAACACUAUGUAUCAAAGAACAGUACGAAAAAUCUCAUCAAAGAAGAAAAUUAUUAGAAACAAAAGGAAAUAAUUGUAAAAGAUAGAUUAGGGUCAAGUAAGGUGAAGUUCAGCGGUAAAAAUGAAAAGAAGGUGCAGGUGGAGAUGGAUCAAAGUAAUUUUAAAUAACCGUGCGACUGGUUUCUCGAGAUUUCACGCUGGUUCCUGACAGGUAAUGCCCUCGGGACGCACAUGGAAAAAAAGCAAAUGGAAACCUAAUGUAUCGCCUCAGACGGACCUGUCAUUGAAACUGAUCAUUCCACGCGGGAGGUACGGGUCCUUGCGUCUUAUUCAUGACCGACUACUUCUGGCCAAUCAUCUUGCAUUCUGAAUGGGCCACCUGCAGUUACAGAGAGAAGGGAUGCAUGAUAAACUCGAACCGUUUGACCAGGUUGUUACCUAAUCCUUUUUAUUGGGCACCGAUCGAACCACGUCAAUCGUAUCUGACCUCCUCGAUCACAGAUUCGUUUCAUCGUUUUGUAGAUGACGAAGAUAAAGAUAGAUUAGUCCAGAACUUCUUUCUUCGAGCAGAUAAUGGACAAUGCAACGUUUUAUCGUGCACAGAUUUUCGUAUGAAAAGAUAAGAAGCGCAGAAGGGGAAAGUCACAUGAAUCAAUGUAUGUAGAAAGAUAAGGAUUGUUCAAGGACAGUGGAGUUUAAAGGUAGCUCAAAGUAUUCUCAGACAAACGGUGAACUCCACGUCUCAAUUUCUAUGGGCUCGAAAUAUAUGCAUUAGGAAAGUCAUAUUUUACGUUCGAUAGGUUCCACGACAAAGAGAAAACAUGAAAAAAGAAAAUGAUGAAAAAGGGAAGAACGAACGCGGUCGUUCAAAGACACAUCGAUAUUCCCCAUGCUCUCCAUCUUGUCGUCACGAUAUAAAAUACCGGCUAAAAAAGGAGCGCUGAAUGGCCGAUACCCGACUAAAAACCGGACUUGCUCUCGUUACACGAAGCCAAAGAAACGAAGCAGUUGGCUGCAGCACGGUGCAGGUGGGUUGCCAGAUGGCCAGAACGGAAACAGUGAAUGAAGGAACGAAAAGAAACGAAAGGAACACCGUUCAUCACGAAUACGCGACAAGACAAACGCGACCGCGCGAACCGAAUACCAAUUUCGAGUUCCUGUCGCGCGAUUCUGGGCAUUUAUUCUCAUUUUGUUCAACACGUUGUAAAAUUCCACACAAUUAUAAAGAACAGAAAAAAAUUGAUUUAAAUGUGAUAAUGGAAUUGAGAUUUAUUUUUAUAGGAAAUUUAUACAUAUAUAAAAUCUUUUUAUACUUUUUUUUUUUUUUUAUAUUUUAGAAUUAUUGGGAUUGAAUUAAUAUAAAGUAUAUUUUUAUGUGAUAAUAUUUUUUAAUUAAUAAUACGCUGUUAUUAAUUAAUUUUUAUUUUUCAUUUACUUUUUCAUAUUUAAUUAUUUCAAAAGUGUUUUUUAGUUGUAAAGUAAAAAUAUAAAAAAAGAGGAGGGAUUGGUGGUUCCGACCGGGAUCGAACCGGCGACCUUCUGCGUGUAAAGCAGACGUGAUAACCGCUACACCACGGAACCUCUUGAUAUCGAGAUUUUUAUUAACAUAAUUCAUUUUAUUUUAAGAAUUUUUUUUAAAUACUUUUAAAUUAUUAUAAUUUAAUAUCAUAUAACAUUCGAUUGAUUAUUAUUGUCAAUCAAUUUAACUUAUGCUUAUUCUAUUUUUCUCGUAAAAUAGCAUUUAGAAUUGAAUAUAAUAAUUAUAACUAUUGUUAUAAAUACCAUGACACUAAUAUUAUAGAAUUUAGUAAAUUUAGUUUACUAAAAGUAUAUCAAAUUUUAUUAUAUGUAUUAUAUGUACAGUAAUAAAUUAUAAAAAGUGCAAAAAUUAAAUAUAAAAAUCUAAAAA